AAGGGAGACCUAAUUCGGGUAGGAGACGAAAAAAAAGUAGUCCCUACCAAGAAUCAAUCCCAAAAGGUCGGAACGAGGUAUGUGGCUUUCAAACUAGGUUCUGGGUUCACACAAGACCUGAAUCAGGAACAAGGGCUAUUAGCUCAGGUGGUUAGAGCGCACCCCUGAUAAGGGUGAGGUCCCUGGUUCGAGUCCAGGAUGGCCCACCUGCACAGGUGGCAAAAACAAAGAAGCGAGGAAUCAGCACCUUAUCUUAUCUAUAUAUAAGAGAGAAUGCUGGCUCUGAGUAAAGAGUCCAGAGGAACCUUGAAAACUGCAUAGAGCUAGGUGAAAAAGCCAAAAAAGAAGACCGCAA
This 355-nucleotide transfer RNA is filed under the name uncultured Microcystis sp. Its description in RNAcentral is "partial 16S-23S ribosomal RNA intergenic spacer". The stretch from base 133 to 206 matches the Rfam family "tRNA". The record is from RNAcentral. Lineage: Bacteria; Bacillati; Cyanobacteriota; Cyanophyceae; Chroococcales; Microcystaceae.